GACGAACGCUGGCGGCGUGCUUAACACAUGCAAGUCGAACGGAAAGGCCCUGCUUUUGUGGGGUGCUCGAGUGGCGAACGGGUGAGUAACACGUGAGUAACCUGCCCUUGACUUUGGGAUAACUUCAGGAAACUGGGGCUAAUACCGGAUAGGAGCUCCUGCUGCAUGGUGGGGGUUGGAAAGUUUCGGCGGUUGGGGAUGGACUCGCGGCUUAUCAGCUUGUUGGUGGGGUAGUGGCUUACCAAGGCUUUGACGGGUAGCCGGCCUGAGAGGGUGACCGGCCACAUUGGGACUGAGAUACGGCCCAGACUACUACGGGAGGCAGCAGUGGGGAAUAUUGCACAAUGGGCGGAGGCCUGAUGCAGCCACGCCGCGUGCGGGAUGACGGCAUUCGGGUUGUAAACCGCUUUCGCCUGUGACGAAGCGUGAGUGACGGUAAUGGGUAAAGAAGCACCGGCUAACUACGUG
Molecule: ribosomal RNA, 468 nt
Filed under: uncultured bacterium
Lineage: Bacteria
Description: partial 16S ribosomal RNA
Rfam family: Bacterial small subunit ribosomal RNA
Source: RNAcentral